RNA transcript from Populus nigra (black poplar), 1545 nucleotides. It is a transcript of the gene named serine/arginine-rich splicing factor SR45a-like, with no coding region annotated. The transcript has 6 exons. Lineage: Eukaryota; Viridiplantae; Streptophyta; Magnoliopsida; Malpighiales; Salicaceae. The record is from RefSeq and is a predicted model, not a curated record.
GAAACUUCUGUUUGUUUCGCUCUUUAUAUAUAACGUAGAGCUUCUCGGUUUUUUACGCUUCUUCGAGAGAGAGAGAAAAAAAUCCCGUUUAGGCUCUGCAUCUCUUUUCAAAGAAACAGGGUUAUAACAAUUUUCAAUCACUUAAUUACUGUCAGUAUGUCAUACUCUAGAAGGUCGAGGUAUUCUCUUUCGCCUUCCCCAUACAGGCGAGACAGCAGGUCCAUAUCAAGGUCAAGGUCCGGAAGUAGGUCAAGGAGCUCAUCAAGGGACGUGGAGAAUCCUGGUAACAAUUUGUAUGUGACAGGGUUGUCACCACGUAUAACCAAGAAGGAACUUGAGAAGCAUUUUGCUGCGGAAGGAACGGUGAUUGAUGUUCAUCUUGUCGUAGAUCCGUUGACAAGAGAGUCUCGAGGAUUUGGGUUUGUUACUAUGUCUGCUGUUGAGGAGGCUGAUCGUUGUAUCAAGUAUUUGGACCGCUCUGUUCUUGGGGGUCGUGUCAUUACAGUGGAGAAGGCUAAGCGGAGGAGAGGACGAACUCCUACUCCUGGGAGGUAUUUGGGGCUGAGAACAAUACGUGGUGGAGGUGGUGGUGGUGGUGUGCAUCGCUGGACGCCUAGUCCUUCGCCUCGACGAUCUCCUAGUUACUCUCCUUAUCGGAGGAGCUGGAGUCGGUCUCCUUGUUAUUCAUCUGAACGUAGCAGGAGCAGGUCCUGCUCCCCUCGCAACCGCCGUCGACGGUCCUACUCGCGAUCUCGAUCCCCAUACCGUAGGUCCCCUGUGAGCAGGCGUGACAGGUCCAACUCACCUUAUUACUUGAGGCGUCGCUCACCAGAUGAUAGAUACUAUAGAAGGCACCGAUAUCGCUCUGUAUCUCGCAGCCCUGCUAUACGUAGGGCUAAGAGAAGCUCAAGGAGGAGCUAUUCAAGAAGCGUUUCCCCAAAACCAAGAAGGAGCUCAAGGAGGAGCUAUUCGUGCAGUGUUUCCCCUGCACCAAGGAGGAGCUAUUCACGCAGCAUGUCCCCUGUGCCAAGGAGGAGCUCAAAGAGAAGUUAUUCUAGAAGUGUUUCACCAAGACCAAGGAAGUACUCAAGGAGGAGUGGACAUUCACGAGACAGCUACUCUAGGAGCCGCAGUGCAAGUCCUACUUCCAGAUCUGUUUCAAGAUCUGUCACCCCAAGCUCAGGUUCUCCAUCUCAUUGAAAGUAAAUUGAUGUCCGUGUAAAUCGUUAGGAAAAAAAAUGAAGCUCGUGUAGAUAAAAAAGAAAGAGAAGAAAGUGAGGCUCCGGUAGGUAUGUGGAAUUUGUGGUUUGAGAGCCAUGUUUGCAGGUGUUAUGAUAAUUUCAUGUUUAUGGGGAGCCUGUCUUCUAUCCAGUGACAGCUUAAAACUAUCAGCGUCUUAGUAACAAGAGAGACACUCGUCUUUUAUCGUUUUUUCAAUGCAUGAUUGACAUGUUGUUCUAAGUGUUUCAUUGAAUGUGUGUAAUUGUUGUUACUGAUGUGUUUAAAUAUUCAAUAUUCGACGUCUGCUCGCGGACGUGUUGGUAA